GCCGAGGUGGUGAAAUGGCAAACACACUAGCUUCAGGAGCUAGCGGGAGAAAUCCCUUGGGAGUUCAAGUCUCCCCCUCGGCA
RNAcentral lists this transfer RNA (83 nucleotides) under Candidatus Tayloriibacteriota bacterium. RNAcentral's name for it is "tRNA-Leu". It matches the Rfam family "tRNA". Rfam says of the family: Transfer RNA (tRNA) molecules are approximately 80 nucleotides in length. Their secondary structure includes four short double-helical elements and three loops (D, anti-codon, and T loops). Further hydrogen bonds mediate the characteristic L-shaped molecular structure. tRNAs have two regions of fundamental functional importance: the anti-codon, which is responsible for specific mRNA codon recognition, and the 3' end, to which the tRNAs corresponding amino acid is attached (by aminoacyl-tRNA synthetases). tRNAs cope with the degeneracy of the genetic code in two manners: having more than one tRNA (with a specific anti-codon) for a particular amino acid; and 'wobble' base-pairing, i.e. permitting non-standard base-pairing at the 3rd anti-codon position. Lineage: Bacteria; Candidatus Tayloriibacteriota. The record is from RNAcentral.